GCCCGGGUGGCACCGCGACAGUCGCGUCCCGGGGGCCUCGUCCUCGCCACCUCCCCGCUGCGGGCCGGGGCACUCGGGGCUUCCUGCCCUCAGAACUGUGCCCUGGGUGUGCACGUGGGGCCGAGGGUCCCCUGGCCUGGGCGAGGGUGCAGGGACCCGAAACUGGGUGACUCUUCCCGGUCCCGGUGUGGCUGUCCUGUAACCAUGACGACUGCGGGCUUUGGCACGUGGAUGUGGAUGCAGAGCCUGAAGGGCACGCAAGGCCUCGGGGCAUGUGGAGUCCCCGGAACUGGAACGUGUGGGCAGCGUGGGUGACCUGUGCUUGCACAGGCCUCGUUGUGUCUGUCACCUGUUGGAUCACAGGCGCUCCGACCAGGUCUGCACACCAGGAAGCAAAGGAACAUGGCUCAUUCCCAGGGAAUCCAGGAGCGUGCAGAGACUCCUGAAGAAGCAGGCACGUUGGACUACCGGCUUGAGCUUGGCUCUCCGAGCUGAGCUGAACUGCUCCCACGUUUUCUCUUCCUCUCCAGAACUAGGAAAUACAU
This 545-nucleotide long non-coding RNA is filed under the name Heterocephalus glaber (naked mole-rat). RNAcentral describes it as "lncRNA (ENSHGLG00100028600.2)". Lineage: Eukaryota; Metazoa; Chordata; Mammalia; Rodentia; Bathyergidae. The record is from RNAcentral.